AACGAACGCUGGCGGCAUGCCUAACACAUGCAAGUCGAACGAGAACUUCGGGUCGGGUGGCGCCCGGGUGCGUACCGCGUGGUAACCUGCCCUUAGGUUCGGAAUAACUCUCCGAAAGGGGUGCUAAUCCCGGGUAAUGUCUUCGGACCAAGGCUUUAUCGCCUUGGGCUGGGCCCGUGUUGGAUUAGCGAGUGGGUAGGGUACACGCCUACCAAGGCGACGGUCCAUAGCUGGGCUGAGAGGAUGAUCCGCUACGCUGGGGCUGAGACACGGCCCCGACUGCUACGGAGGGGAGCAGUAGGGUAUAUUGGAGAAGGGGGGAUAGCCUGACCAAGCAAUGUGGGGUGAGUGGUGAAGGCGUUAGUGUUGUUAAGUCCUUUGAGCCGGGAUGAUAAUGACAGUACCGGGAGAAGAAGCUCCGGCUAACUCCGUG
This 433-nucleotide ribosomal RNA is filed under the name uncultured bacterium. RNAcentral's name for it is "partial 16S ribosomal RNA". It matches the Rfam family "Bacterial small subunit ribosomal RNA", at positions 28 to 507 of the family's 1533-position model. The record is from RNAcentral.